AGCGACAGCCAUUAAAGAUGUCCUCGUCCUGUCUUCUUCAGUUUUCAGUAGUUGAAGGUGAAGUAUUGCAGUAUUGGUUUGUUGUUUGUUUAUCCUUUAUUUUAUCGCGUCAUCAAGUUGAUGAUGAUUUUUGAUUGCUGAAGGUCUUAAAUUAAGACAAAGGUGGGAAUAGAACUGCAGAUACAUAUUAUACUAAAAUCCACCAUGACAGAUGAAUAUGAUGCCAAGGAUUAGAUUUGAAAAAAGUUCUUCUCCUCUCUACAUUUGAUGAAAGCCAUUUUCAGCAAAGGUGGGAAUAGAAGUGCAGACGCAUAUACCAAAAUCCACCAUGACAGACGAAUAUGCUGCCAACUACAGUUUUAGAUUUAAAACUCCUUUCUACAUCUGAUGGAAACCAUUUUCAGACCAAGAGCAGAGAGACUACGCCUCAUGAAGCUCAAAUCGAGGACGAUAGCAGUUCAAAGUAAAAAUAUAUAAUCAGUUAUA
This 486-nucleotide long non-coding RNA is filed under the name Nilaparvata lugens (brown planthopper). RNAcentral's name for it is "uncharacterized LOC111047291". Lineage: Eukaryota; Metazoa; Arthropoda; Insecta; Hemiptera; Delphacidae. The record is from RNAcentral.